This 523-nucleotide ribosomal RNA is filed under the name Vibrio parahaemolyticus. Its description in RNAcentral is "bacterial SSU rRNA". It matches the Rfam family "Bacterial small subunit ribosomal RNA", at positions 468 to 990 of the family's 1533-position model. Lineage: Bacteria; Pseudomonadati; Pseudomonadota; Gammaproteobacteria; Vibrionales; Vibrionaceae. The record is from RNAcentral.
UUUGACGUUAGCGACAGAAGAAGCACCGGCUAACUCCGUGCCAGCAGCCGCGGUAAUACGGAGGGUGCGAGCGUUAAUCGGAAUUACUGGGCGUAAAGCGCAUGCAGGUGGUUUGUUAAGUCAGAUGUGAAAGCCCGGGGCUCAACCUCGGAAUUGCAUUUGAAACUGGCAGACUAGAGUACUGUAGAGGGGGGUAGAAUUUCAGGUGUAGCGGUGAAAUGCGUAGAGAUCUGAAGGAAUACCGGUGGCGAAGGCGGCCCCCUGGACAGAUACUGACACUCAGAUGCGAAAGCGUGGGGAGCAAACAGGAUUAGAUACCCUGGUAGUCCACGCCGUAAACGAUGUCUACUUGGAGGUUGUGGCCUUGAGCCGUGGCUUUCGGAGCUAACGCGUUAAGUAGACCGCCUGGGGAGUACGGUCGCAAGAUUAAAACUCAAAUGAAUUGACGGGGGCCCGCACAAGCGGUGGAGCAUGUGGUUUAAUUCGAUGCAACGCGAAGAACCUUACCUACUCUUGACAUCCA